This 1683-nucleotide ribosomal RNA is filed under the name Epalzeorhynchos bicolor (redtail sharkminnow). Its description in RNAcentral is "16S rRNA". It matches the Rfam family "Bacterial large subunit ribosomal RNA". The record is from RNAcentral. Lineage: Eukaryota; Metazoa; Chordata; Actinopteri; Cypriniformes; Cyprinidae.
GCCAAACAGCUAGCUUACCAACCAAUGUAACAAAACAAUAUAAAUAAAAUACAAUAAGCUUAACACCAAAAACUAAACCAUUUUUUUACCUUAGUAUGGGAGACAGAAAAGGUUCAACCCAAAGCAAUAGAGACAGUACCGCAAGGGAAAGCUGAAAGAGAAGUGAAAUAACCCAUAUAAGCACUAAAAAGCAAAGACUAAACCUUGUACCUUUUGCAUCAUGAUUUAGCCAGUAAACACAAGCAAAGUGACCUUUAGUUUGAAACCCCGAAACCAGGUGAGCUACCCCGAGACAGCCUAUAAGGGCCAACCCGUCUCUGUGGCAAAAGAGUGGGAAGAGCUCCGGGUAGAAGUGACAGACCUACCGAACCUGGUGAUAGCUGGUUGCCUAAGAAAUGAAUAGAAGUUCAGCCUCGUGCACCUCACACCAAUAAUACAAAUUAAGACCAAGAGUAAUUUACGAGAGUUAAUUAAAAGGGGUACAGCCCUUUUAAUAAAGGAUACAACCUUACCUAGGAGAAUAAAGAUCAUAAUAUAUAAAACACACUGUUCUAGUGGGCCUAAGAGCAGCCACCUAGAUAGAAAGCGUUAAAGCUCAGACAGAAUAAAGUUUAUUAUCCUGAUAAAAAAUCUUAUUUCCCUACACACUAUUAGGCUAAUCCAUGCCCACAUGGAAGAAACUAUGCUAAAAUGAGUAACAAGAAGGCCCGCCCUUCUCCCAGCACAAGUGUAAGCCAAAUCGGACCAACCAUUGGCAACUAACGAACUCAGCCCAAGAGAGCAAUGUGAACUACAAAAAAAACAAGAAAACCCCACAACUCAAUAAAUCGUUAAUCCUACACUGGAGUGCUAUUUAAAGGAAAGACUAAAAGAAAAGGAAGGAACUCGGCAAACACAAGCCUCGCCUGUUUACCAAAAACAUCGCCUCCUGCAACACAACCAAGUAUAGGAGGUCCAGCCUGCCCAGUGACUACAAGUUCAACGGCCGCGGUAUUUUGACCGUGCAAAGGUAGCGCAAUCACUUGUCUUUUAAAUAGAGACCUGUAUGAAUGGCUAAACGAGGGCUUAACUGUCUCCCAUUUCCAGUCAGUGAAAUUGAUCUGCCCGUGCAGAAGCGGGCAUAAUAAUACAAGACGAGAAGACCCUUUGGAGCUUAAGGUACAAAAUUCAACCAUGUUAAGCAACUCAUCAAAAAGUGUAAACUUUGUGGAACAUGAAAUUUUACCUUCGGUUGGGGCGACCACGGAGAAAAAACAAGCCUCCAAGUGGAUAGGGAUAAUACUCCUAAAACCAAGAGAAACACCUCUAAGCCACAGAAUAUCUGACCAAAUAUGAUCCAGCCAUAAGGCCGAUCAACGAACCAAGUUACCCUAGGGAUAACAGCGCAAUCCUCUCCCAGAGUCCAUAUCGACGAGGGGGUUUACGACCUCGAUGUUGGAUCAGGACAUCCUAAUGGUGCAGCCGCUAUUAAGGGUUCGUUUGUUCAACGAUUAAAGUCCUACGUGAUCUGAGUUCAGACCGGAGUAAUCCAGGUCAGUUUCUAUCUGUAACGCUACUUUUCCUAGUACGAAAGGAUCGGAAAAGAGGGGCCCAUACCCAAAGCACGCCCCACCCCUAAUUUAUGAAAACAAAUAAAUAAAGUAAAGGGAGAGCUAAAAUCCCAACUAGCCAAAAUAAGGAUAU